CUAGGAACAAUAGCCGUCAUGUAGGUAAUCACUUUGAGUAGUUUUCCUUAUGCACCACCAUAUGAAAUUAUGGAUGACUUAAUAUAAGUCAGGUGGGUUUGAUAUGGACUUGUUGGUUUCAAAGGUUCUGGUGGAUGACAUCUUGAAGAUGGUUUGGUUGUUUGAUGUUUUUCGACCUUGCUUUCCCCGUUUAAAUUAAUUCGUGUAACUCGUUUAUGAUUUGGUUGGACAACAUACCUGCCGGUGAGGGUAAGGUAGAAGAAGCAUAGCUUAAUAUGCUUUGCGGUUAAGGUAAGGUGGAAGAAACAUGGGUGUUGUCAAAUUCAUAGUAGACGAAUUUACACAUGUCCUGGCAAAGAAGGUAAGGUAGACGAUAAUAGAUGUCUACUUCUUUGCAAGGAAGGUAAGAUAGAUAGUAUAUACUUUCAUUUUUCAAUCAUGCAAGACCCUCUUCGCAGAAGCAGAGAGUGUUAUCAUCAUUAUAUAAUGAUAAUUUUAGAGGUUUAUAGUAUAAGAAAUAAACACAUUUAUAUACAUAUUUUUAGUGUAUGUCUUUUAAUUCGGUGUUGUCAAA
Erigeron canadensis is the source of this 574-nucleotide long non-coding RNA. RefSeq lists it as uncharacterized. The transcript has 2 exons. The record is from RefSeq and is a predicted model, not a curated record. Lineage: Eukaryota; Viridiplantae; Streptophyta; Magnoliopsida; Asterales; Asteraceae.